Molecule: ribosomal RNA, 443 nt
Filed under: uncultured bacterium
Lineage: Bacteria
Description: partial 16S ribosomal RNA
Rfam family: Bacterial small subunit ribosomal RNA
Source: RNAcentral
CCUACGGGAGGCAGCAGUGGGGGAUAUUGGACAAUGGGGGGAACCCUGAUCCAGCGACGCCGCGUGAGUGAAGAAGUAUUUCGGUAUGUAAAGCUCUGUCAGCAGGGAAGAAAGAAAUGACGGUACCUGACCAAGAAGCCCCGGCUAACUACGUGCCAGCAGCCGCGGUAAUACGGAGGGGGCAAGCGUUAUCCGGAAUUACUGGGUGUAAAGGGAGCGUAGACGGUUAAGUAAGUCUGGAGGGAAAGGCCGGGGCCCAACCCCGGGACUGCUCUGGAAACUAUUGAACUUGAGUGCAGGAGAGGUAAGCGGAAUUCCUAGUGUAGCGGUGAAAUGCGUAGAUAUUAGGAGGAACACCAGUGGCGAAGGCGGCUUACUGGACUGUAACUGACGUUGAGGCUCGAAAGCGUGGGGAGCAAACAGGAUUAGAUACCCCUGUAGUC